CCCCCAGAUGAAUAGAAUUUGUUACAGCAUCAUACAAAAGAAGGAAGAUACCUACAGAUUCGCAGAAUUUAUCCUGAGGAGAAACUAGCACACAGCAAGAUGGAGGAAGGCAGUACAGAAGGAGAUUUUGUCUCUGGACAGACACUCACUGCUAUGGAAGGGUCCACCAUCAGUGUUGAGUUUGAAAUCUUCGUCAUGCCAUUGGAGAAGAUGCCAAAUGGUGGCCAGGUCUUCCCCACAGGUUGAAAAGCAAAACAAGGAAUGUUUCC
This is a long non-coding RNA of Hemiscyllium ocellatum (epaulette shark), 269 nucleotides long. RefSeq lists it as uncharacterized. Lineage: Eukaryota; Metazoa; Chordata; Chondrichthyes; Orectolobiformes; Hemiscylliidae. The transcript has 4 exons. The record is from RefSeq and is a predicted model, not a curated record.